GCUCUGUGCUCCCCCCGAACGGCCCGGGAAGCCGAUGCAGCGUUGGUGCGAUGCUUCCAAAAGGACAAAAAGCAAAUGUCGCGAGUGCGCGCUCUGCUUCACAGAUGCAGGGCACCUAUGCGCGCAUGAAAGUCAGCGCUCCGCUUCGGAUGCACGUUUCCAGUGCUGGGGAAACCUUCUCGUGCUUUUGUUUUCUAGAAGUAGAAAUGUUUGAGCUUAAACCGGCACGUCAGAAGACUCUUGAAGGAAACAGGUCUGCCUCCCCAAAAGACGCUUAGCACAAAAUUUGUAGACCCUGUGCUCGCUGUAGAAGACAUUGACCCUUACAAAUCCCAUCGAGCUCCUUAGAAAGGCGGCAAAACUUUUAGGACCGCGGUGCUUCUGAGGCUGCUACAGUCCUGCUCCUUGCUUGGCACAGCAGAGAAGGAACAUCAAUGACAAAUCUGAUCUUUUUUGAAGAUUGAAUUUACUGAAGAAGCUUCCUCUGGAGUUCCACAGAUGAUUAGUGUGAGCUACCCAUCACAUCGGAUAUGUAGGAAUGUCAAUUAGGACACCCUGUGUUCAAGCACAGAAAGAGAUCUUGUAUGCAAUGGGAGGAUGGAAACAGGCCUUCAACGUGGGCCUUCAUGCUGUUGCAAAAGCCAUCGAUGUAGAUGAGAGGAGCGAUUCGUUUGCUCAUGAGCUGAAAGUUCCUUGUACCAAAGUGUGCUCCACCUCAAGAAGUUUGCCAGGAGCAACUGAAAUGUUUUACACAUUCCACCUAAUAUGCCCCAGAGAGGGGGCUGCAUGGGCACACUGUCUCGGGGUACUGCGAAGGAAAGACAUUUUCUGUUCCGGAGACAUGGGGAUGCCAUGCUGAUUGUACCUGGAUGAUCAUACGAACAGAGAAAAAGUCCCCUAAUCCCCUGGAAGAAGGCAAUGAACAGAACUUUGAAACUUGAAUGCAUGCUUUUUCUUCUCUGCUAAGUAUGUAUACUAGCAGUUUCCAAUUCUUAUCCAGCUGAAGUCUAUGCAACAAAGGACAAAAGAACACAGAAAAGAAGAAAAAAGUCUUUGUGUUAUGCAGAGCACCAAGUCUAAUCCUUGGCACGAGCCAGAGCAGAAAUUGUUCCAAUUUAUGCUGGUUGUCUUCUAUUCAUAGGUGCAUUGGGCAAUGAAGGAAUAUCUGAUGGAAAUUACUUUGGACGUCUCCCACUUAUGAACCGGAAUUCGGUAUAGGACCUGUUAUGGUUUGUUUCUCCAGAGGAAUCCUUCACUGGUAGUUUUAGGGCUGGUUUAUAAGUGAAUGAGAGUGAAGCAGAUUUCAAAUAUUGAGCAAUAGAUCCUCUUCUUCCCCCAAACCUGGUCCCCUUCAAUAUUCUUUAAUCAAGUCUGAUGUUUUUGCAAUUUUGAUUGUAGAAUUUUAACUCUGAGUAGACAAGUUACAUGUACAGUCACUCCUAAACAGUAUCAGUAUCAAUGCUGGUAGCUGACGUCACUACACUAAAAUGCUUUCCUAUCUGCAAAAAAAUUGUUCUUGCCCACAUUUCCUGAGGAACUGAAGGACUUGACUUAAAAGAGUGAAAUUUCUUCAUACCAUUGCAGGUAUUGUAUUACCAUAAUAGAUACGAUUUAAGAUGCAUCUUUUUUACACCUUAAUGUGGAUUUCUACCAUUUCAAACCUAAUUUUUCUUGACGUCAUUGGACUUCUAUCCAUUGACAAAUGGGUAGGAUUGUUUCUAUUAGCAAACUGGAAGAUCAGGCUAAUAUAUGCCUUUUAGACUUUAAAUAGAAACUUUAAUUUACUGUAUGCUUGCAUUCUGAAUACCUAGCUAUUUUUUAUGGAGCUUGUACUUGCAUCAAAAAAGCUAGAUCCUGAGAUAUAAAACAACACAAAAAGAGAAUAUUUGAGUAGGUAACACAUGCCCCCCCCCCCCCCCCCCCCCGCCCCGGAUUAUGUUGCAGGAGAAAACUAAGUUAAGACAGUUAGACAUUAAAAUUUCUGUAUUGCUUAAAAUAGCCAUUUAAAGUGCUUGGGGUAUUAAAUGCUCCUCCUAAGGUAUGGGAAGUGAGCAAAAUGUUGCAAUUAUUCCUGGAUUGCUAUUCUUUCCUUGCCAAGCAAGGAGAAAAUGAAUUUCAUCUGCUCUACCUGGGUCUACGUUUGUGCUUGAUUAUUAAACCUAUAAAUGGAACUGCAGUACUUUGAAACCAUUAAGAAGUAUUUAAAUGGAUCAGGAGAAAUAAUAACCUCACUCAAUCAGUCUAAUUUCAGUUGAUUCACUCAUCGCUAAAAUCUAUAUAAUGUAACAUCUUGUUGACCAUAGUCUAUUUUUAACACAAUUUUGAAGUUUUUUCUACUCCCUGUGGACACAAAAAUGUCAGCAGAGAAUUUCAACAACAGAAGCACUGAACCAAAACGCUAAAAUUCCUCCUAACCUACCUUCCUGUACAUCUUGUUAUUUUAACUCUCCUACAUGCUAUCGCUCUGCAGUGACUCUUUCCCCAGUCCCAAACAAAACGCCUCAAUUCAGACAGCUCUGGGGUUUUUUAAACUUAGAUUCAUGUAAGCAUGUUUCAAGAAUUCAUACACAUUAUACCGUAUUAAAAUAAUUUUUUCUUGAAUGAUUUUAAAGUUUUAAUAGCAUCUCAAAUUCCUCUUGAGCUUAACUCAAAGGGUAAGUACUCCUGGAAGUUUUGGACAGUAAGCCCCCUCAGUCCUAAAAAUUAGAGCCACUACUCAUUUCACCAAAUUUAGCUGAAAACAGCAUGACUGAUUAAUUGACAUGUGUCCAUGAUUUUUUGAAACACUGGUAGUCCGUGCAUCACCGUCUGAGAAGCAUACAUGGAGGAAGAACAGUCACUUUCCACCAAAAGAACAGGAGCUGUAAGGACUUCUGCUGAAUUUUUGAGAUUGCUAGGCAAGAAGAUUGGAACAACGAAGUAAGAAUUGAAGCAUUAAUUUGCUAUUUUCAAAAUAAAGGCAAUCUUUUUGAAAAGGUAAAGGUGCUCUUAA
Molecule: long non-coding RNA, 2992 nt
Organism: Aquila chrysaetos chrysaetos
Lineage: Eukaryota; Metazoa; Chordata; Aves; Accipitriformes; Accipitridae
Exons: 4
Source: RefSeq, a predicted model, not a curated record